AUGCUUGCUGCGGCAGCACAUAUACUAAAAUUGGAAUGAUACAGAGAUGAUUAGCAUGACCCCUGAGCAAGGAUGACACACAAAUUCAUGAAGUGUUCCAUAUUUUU
This 107-nucleotide small nuclear RNA is filed under the name Dasypus novemcinctus (nine-banded armadillo). Lineage: Eukaryota; Metazoa; Chordata; Mammalia; Cingulata; Dasypodidae. The record is from RNAcentral.